CUGAUUUGGGCGCUAUAUUAAGUGAUCAUGACUACUAUCUAUACGUUACAAGAUAUCCACCUGUAAGUGUAAAGGAUAUAAAAAGGGUCUUGUUUCCCUCCUCCUUUAGAUCGAAUUUGGACAAAUGAGGAUCCUUAGCUCUUCAUUCUUAGAUAUAUAGGUCUCUAUAUUAUAUAGAUCUUUUUCUGCUCCCUAAAGACCUCGCUUGUCGUUUAGCUUGGGAAAGAAAAAACCCAGCGUUAUGGGAUGAGCGGUUGGGAUGAACAAGUAGUGGUAAUGAAAUUACACACUAGAGAUAAUCAUCUAAUGACUAAAAAGCGGCCGAAAAAUGACAAAGUGCUUACGUGUAUGAGGCAUCUCUGCCCCGCUUCCGUCGAGAAAGAAAAAAAAAGGAUAAAGAACAGACGAGCUAAUGACCAGUGGUGGCUAGCAAUUAAUGAAAGGUGAAAAUGAAAGGUGACCUGGUGCCUGUGGUGACUAGCCUUUUGGAUCUCGGAUCCUUGUUCUAGCGCCGGUUUCGGUUUUUUGGAUUGUUUCUUCACACAUUCACAGCGUCGCCCUGACCUAAAUGGUGGGUUUUCCGUACCCCGAAGUGCCAAAAAAGCCGCUUUUUUCCUGUCUUCUGUCCUUUUUUUGCCGUUGCAUGCUGCGUGCAGGGCGAUACUGGCGUGAAGGGAAGAUGGCAGGGAUGCUUUUUUUUUGGUUCUCCGUUAAUUGCGCAGAACUUAGUAGAAGCUGUAGCGUCUUCUGUCACCGUUUACUUGCGACAAGAGAUAAGAGGUAUGAGCAGUGAGACAUGCGAUGAUGGAUUUUUACUUUUGAUCGUGCAUGUCGGCGGCGGGGCGUUACGUUCUUGUGAUGUAGUGUGUUUGCUGAUGCGUCAUGUUAUGUUUGUAACAAACAAUCGACAGUUGGCUAGUGGUGUACUUCUUUGGUCGCUGCGUGAUGAUGUCUCAUCAUCAACCUUUGGGUCGUGGCGUUGAAUGUGCGGAGAGUAGGAGAGAGGAUUGAUUAUAAGACCGCAUGACCGAGGGAAUGGGGAGAAACAUGUGCACCUCACUUUGGUAGUACAGGAUUGAUGAAAGGCCGGUUGCAGGAUGCUGCGGAGGAAGGGCAAUUCGAUUACAUUAGAAAGGAAGAGAAGGAAGGAAGCAAGAAGGACAAUUAAUUGACGGGUAUGGCGAUGGAACCUGGUAACUGAUU
RNAcentral lists this small RNA (1203 nucleotides) under Cryptococcus neoformans H99. RNAcentral's name for it is "Cryptococcus neoformans var. grubii H99 hypothetical RNA". Lineage: Eukaryota; Fungi; Basidiomycota; Tremellomycetes; Tremellales; Cryptococcaceae. The record is from RNAcentral.